Molecule: ribosomal RNA, 497 nt
Filed under: uncultured bacterium
Lineage: Bacteria
Description: partial 16S ribosomal RNA
Rfam family: Bacterial small subunit ribosomal RNA
Source: RNAcentral
GACGAACGCUGGCGGCGUGCCUAAUACAUGCAAGUUGAGCGCUGAAGGUUGGUACUUGUACCGACUGGAUGAGCAGCGAACGGGUGAGUAACGCGUGGGGAAUCUGCCUUUGAGCGGGGGACAACAUUUGGGAACGAAUGCUAAUACCGCAUAAAAACUUUAAACACAAGAUUUAAGUUUGAAAGAUGCAAUUGCAUCACUCAAAGAUGAUCCCGCGUUGUAUUAGCUAGUUGGUGAGGUAAAGGCUCACCAAGGCGAAGAUACAUAGCCGACCUGAGAGGGGUGUCGGCCACAUUGGGACUGAGACACGGCCCAAGAUCCUUCGGGAGGCAGCAGGAGGGAAUCUUCGGCAAUGGAGGAAAGUCUGGACGAACAACGCCGGGGUGGGGGAGAAGGGUUUCGGAUCGUAAAAGUCUGUUGGUUGGGAAGAAAGUUGGGGAGGGUGGAAAGCUCAUCAAGUGACGGUAACUACACAGAAAGGGACGGCUAACUACGUG